AGAAUAUGACGUUCUGUCUCUACGAACGGUAGCAGCGUUCCUCCCUUUUGUUUUAUUUUCUAACAGAAUGUCGACGUUAACGUCAGCGUGGCGCGCGCGCGCCUUCGAUUUUACCGACCUUACCGACCGGCCGAUAAAAAUAGAUUUAACGAGGUUAUCAACGAGGUCAUCAACUUCGUCCACACGUCAAUACUUCAAUUGGACUUUCCUCGAAGGAAAAGGAACGAUAAUUUAUCCUGCUGUAUCGAAUUGGAUUAAUGCCGAGCGAAUGAAGAAAUUGAAUUUAAUUGAAUAUCCCUAUCUCGAGUGAUAUCACCCUUGGGUGGGAUUAUAUACGAAAGAAAAGGAAAAAGACGAAAGAAUGUCAAGUGAUGUUUUCUUACCGCACCGAUGUGUCAACUGAUGUUUGCUAUUAUUGUCGUGUAAAGCCAAACGCUUUACUUGUCUACGGUAAGCCGCCAUAUGGC
Molecule: long non-coding RNA, 467 nt
Organism: Vespa crabro (European hornet)
Lineage: Eukaryota; Metazoa; Arthropoda; Insecta; Hymenoptera; Vespidae
Exons: 4
Source: RefSeq, a predicted model, not a curated record